This 476-nucleotide ribosomal RNA is filed under the name uncultured bacterium. RNAcentral describes it as "bacterial SSU rRNA". It matches the Rfam family "Bacterial small subunit ribosomal RNA", at positions 25 to 518 of the family's 1533-position model. The record is from RNAcentral.
CAGGACGAACGCUGGCGGCACGCUUAACACAUGCAAGUCGAACGGGAUUUCAGAGCUUGCUCUGAAAUUUAGUGGCGGACGGGUGAGUAACACGUGAGCAACCUACCUCUGAGAGCGGAAUAGCUUCUGGAAACGGAUGGUAAUACCGCAUGACAUUGCGCUACCGCAUGAUAGUGCAAUCAAAUGAAUUUCGCUCAGAGAUGGGCUCGCGCCUGAUUAGCUAGAUGGUGAGGUAACGGCUCACCAUGGCGACGAUCAGUAGCCGGACUGAGAGGUUGAACGGCCACAUUGGGACUGAGACACGGCCCAGACUCCUACGGGAGGCAGCAGUGGGGAAUAUUGCACAAUGGGCGAAAGCCUGAAUGCAGCGAUGCCGCGUGGAGGAAGAAGGUUUUCGGAUUGUAAACUCCUUUUUCAGGGACGAUAAUGACGGUACCUGAAGAAGAAGCUCCGGCUAACUACGUGCCAGCAGCAGC